UGAGGUUGCAGGUUCUGCAGGGGUAUUGGUCCUGUGGCAUGGGGAGGUGUGUGCUGCUGUUUCUGAUCACUGAUCAUCACGCUUUGCAUUUCAUUACAGUCUUUGCAACAGAUCUUUCUGUCAGAGAAAGCAGGAGCUUGAAAACGUUUACGUUAUGCCACUGCCUUUUAAGUUCAUAUUGUAAUGGUUUUUACUUUGGCACAAUGACAUUUCAGAUUCUUUUAUCUUAAAGCAAGAGAUACUGGAAUGAAAUCUGCGUGGGAAACCGUAUCCCAAGCCAGGCUUUCCAAGCGGAGAAGAGAUUUGAACUUGGCACAAAGUCAGAAGAUUCGCGAAGAGAGGAGCGCGUGUCUGGGGAGGGAAUGUUGCUUCCUUCCCUUUGCUUUUUUUUGGUUCAAUAAAUCUUAGCCCGUUUCUGA
Molecule: non-coding RNA, 419 nt
Organism: Cyanistes caeruleus (blue tit)
Lineage: Eukaryota; Metazoa; Chordata; Aves; Passeriformes; Paridae
Source: RefSeq, a predicted model, not a curated record